Long non-coding RNA from Perca flavescens (yellow perch), 754 nucleotides. RefSeq lists it as uncharacterized. The record is from RefSeq and is a predicted model, not a curated record. NCBI's taxonomy places the organism in Eukaryota, Metazoa, Chordata, Actinopteri, Perciformes, Percidae. The transcript is spliced from 2 exons.
ACAAACCAACCUUGGCGGCUGCAUGGGCUCUCCGCGACUCUGGGAGUCCUGCAGGAACCCGGAGGACAGCGAACAGGAGCGAGAGGAAACAGACUCCUAAAAAAUCUCCCCCUUAAAAAAAAAAACUCGUCCUGUGUGUCACUGUAAUCCGAAAUCAAACGCACUCAGUAGCUUUCUGAGUGUUAAAUCCGCCAAUCUGUGCAUGAUGUCCACCGAUCUGCUUCUCGGUGAAAUGAAAGUGUUUUUUUUCUUUCUUUCUUUUUAGUUGGGAUUCAUCUAAACAGCCACUUCUCGCACCCGGGGGGACUCAGAUCUCUGCAGCCGUUGCUUAACUCAUUUGACUAUCGGUCGAUCGGAAAGGAGACAUUAUGAUAGAUUAAGUCCAGUAAUUGCCCUCAUCCGCGCGUGGAAUCCAAAUUGUUAGUUAUGAACGACGUCGGGGAGAAAAAAGCCCUGAGGGCAAAGCUGCUGCUGCUGCUGCUGCUGCUGCUGCUGCUGCGUACGGCCCGAUCCGCUGUCUGGAUGUUGUGAAAUGGCUAGUUAGAAAGUGUGAGAGAGACAAUGAUCGGCUCUGCAUGACGCCGCUGGGAGCCCCAAAUCUCAGCUGUGAAACCCCCCUUUUUCCGAAUAGUUGUUCUCUCUUUGGAAGAGUCCCCAGACUGGAGUUAAAAACAAAUAUGGGCUAUCUGUUCUGCAGGAUUUGGAUAGAAGUUUCUGCACCUUUGACAACCCAAAUAAAGCUGAAUUGAACUUG